RNAcentral lists this ribosomal RNA (253 nucleotides) under uncultured bacterium. RNAcentral describes it as "partial 16S ribosomal RNA". It matches the Rfam family "Bacterial small subunit ribosomal RNA", at positions 524 to 776 of the family's 1533-position model. The record is from RNAcentral.
UACGGAGGGUGCAAGCGUUAUCCGGCUUCACUGGGUUUAAAGGGUGCGUAGGCGGGCAGGUAAGUCAGUGGUGAAAUCUCCGGGCUUAACCCGGAAACUGCCGUUGAUACUAUCUGUCUUGAAUAUUGUGGAGGUAAGCGGAAUAUGUCAUGUAGCGGUGAAAUGCUUAGAUAUGACAUAGAACACCAAUUGCGAAGGCAGCUUACUACACAGUUAUUGACGCUGAGGCACGAAAGCGUGGGGAUCAAACAGG